AGCAGCCGCGGUAAUUCCAGCUCCAAUAGCGUAUAUUAAAGUUGUUGCAGUUAAAAAGCUCGUAGUUGAAUUUCGGGAUUAGUACGUCGGUCGUGCCUUCGGUACGUACUGGUGUUACUGAUUCCUACCUUCUGACGAACCAUCAUGUUAUUAAUUUGGUGUGGCGGGGAAUCAGGACUGUUACUUUGAAAAAAUUAGAGUGUUUAAAGCAGGCUCGCGCUUGAAUACAUUAGCAUGGAAUAAUGAAAUAGGACGUUGACCCUAUUUUGUUGGUUUCUAGGAUUGACGUAAUGAUUAAUAGGGAUAGUUGGGGGCAUUAGUAUUCAAUUGUCAGAGGUGAAAUUCUUGGAUUUAUUGAAGACUAACUACUGCGAAAGCAUUUGCCAAGGAUGUUUUCAUUAAUCAAGGACGAAAGUUAGGGGAUCGAAGACGAUCAGAUACCGUCGUAGUCUUAACCAUAAACUAUGCCGACUAGGGAUCGGAUGAUGUUAUUUUUAAUGACUCAUUCGGCGCCUUACGG
This 520-nucleotide ribosomal RNA is filed under the name uncultured Glomus. RNAcentral describes it as "SSU rRNA". It matches the Rfam family "Eukaryotic small subunit ribosomal RNA", at positions 569 to 1093 of the family's 1831-position model. Lineage: Eukaryota; Fungi; Glomeromycota; Glomeromycetes; Glomerales; Glomeraceae. The record is from RNAcentral.